Molecule: ribosomal RNA, 583 nt
Filed under: uncultured bacterium
Lineage: Bacteria
Description: bacterial SSU rRNA
Rfam family: Bacterial small subunit ribosomal RNA
Source: RNAcentral
CCUACGGGAGGCAGCAGUGGGGAAUCUUGCACAAUGGAGGAAACUCUGAUGCAGCGAUGCCGCGUGAGUGAAGAAGGCCUUUGGGUUGUAAAGCUCUUUUGUAGGGGAAGAUAAUGACUGUACCCUAAGAAUAAGGUCCGGCUAACUUCGUGCCAGCAGCCGCGGUAAUACGAAGGGACCUAGCGUAGUUCGGAAUUACUGGGCGUAAAGCGCGCGUAGGCCGUUGAGUUAGUUAAUUGUGAAAUCCCAAAGCUUAACUUUGGAACUGCAAUUAAAACUGCUCGACUAGAGUUUGAUAGAGGAAAGCGGAAUACAUAGUGUAGAGGUGAAAUUCGUAGAUAUUAUGUAGAACACCAGUUGCGAAGGCGGCUUUCUGGAUCAACACUGACGCUGAGGCGCGAAAGUAUGGGUAGCAAAGAGGAUUAGAUACCCUCGUAGUCCAUACCAUAAACGAUGAUUGCUAGAUGUUGGAAAUUUAUUUUCAGUAUCGCAGCUAACGCAUUAAGCAAUCCGCCUGGGGAGUACGACCGCAAGGUUAAAACUCAAAGGAUUAGACGNNGAGNGNGACCGAGCACAGAGGUAG